ACAAUUUGAAACACAAAGAGUUGAUUAAAAUGCUUCUGUUCUUUUCUGUUCCUCCAGGGUGGACAAUACCCUUUUCUAUUUGGUUGACAACUAUGCUUUCAGUGGGGCAUGUUCUUUUUUCAUUGCCACUUUUGAAACCAUUUGUAUUGGAUGGGUAUACGUUGGGUGCUUCCUGUUUUUGCAGGCGCUGACCUUUUCUGCUGCAGCAUUGCGGAUACGAUGGGCUAUCGUCCGUUCAGUACUGCUGGCUCUACAUAACCCCAGCUGUCUUGCUUGGUAGGUGUUUUUCCCCCAAUCCUUUUAAAUUUGCGUCUCUUCAUCGUUGGCUCCCAGCCAUCUAUGGGACAGGAAUGAAACACAGAAGUCAAAGGGACCUUUUUAUGGACACUUAUUUGGUAUGUACUUCUUGUACGUCUUAAACUCCAGUACAUGUUUUCUGUUUUAUCAGUUAAUUAAUUUUAAAUCUCCUUCAUAGACAGACUUAUUGAUGGGAUUUCUUCAAAAAAGGACUGUGUCCUGGUUUGAAUGAUUUAUUUUAUCUCUCUUGUUAUAUUUAUAAAU
This 561-nucleotide long non-coding RNA is filed under the name Lepisosteus oculatus (spotted gar). RNAcentral's name for it is "lncRNA (ENSLOCG00000022724.1)". The record is from RNAcentral. Lineage: Eukaryota; Metazoa; Chordata; Actinopteri; Semionotiformes; Lepisosteidae.